Molecule: non-coding RNA, 2115 nt
Organism: Meleagris gallopavo (turkey)
Lineage: Eukaryota; Metazoa; Chordata; Aves; Galliformes; Phasianidae
Source: RefSeq, a predicted model, not a curated record
CCAACCAAAACAAACAGCCCCUCAAAAAACCAACGCCUACCUGUCUUUUAGCAUUCUACUGGCCCUUAGCCAGAUAGUUCAAACUAGUUUGGAACAUUUCUUUUGGCAGUAAUACCGGGUUACUCAGCAACUCAACAAACUGAUUUAAAAAGCAAAAACAAACAUCCCUAGAUUAUAAAGAAUCUUUUUGUUCAGAAUUAAUUUUAGCCCAGAUCAGUUCUCAUUUUCAUUGCCUGUUUGCACAAAAUAUUUCUUCUGGCACAGUUAAGUUAGUUGAAUGAAGGAACAAGUGUUAGGGAGGGGAGAGGGUAAAGGACUGUUCCACCAGGAGGAAGUAUUUGUCAAACUGCUAUCCUGGAAUUACUUGAAAGCUACUAUCUUUUGUGCACUCUUUCAAUUGAUUUGACUCCUUAGACUUUAAUGAUAAAGUUUAGUUUUCUGAAAGACAAUUCCUGCAUAUAGGUUAAAUGUUCAAAAUAUUCGAUGUGAUUCUGUAGUUACUUCCCGGAGCUAAGAGAUUCAGAGCUGUUAUCUGAAAAGGAAAGGAAAAAAGAAAACUAGGCAAAAAAAAUAAUUAUUCUAUACAGUUGAAGGCAGUCAGCACUUUUCUGUCUUCAGUCUGUAUUUCCGAAGUAAAUGCCUGACUUGAAAUCUGUUCUCAAAUUCCUGAGCAGAAAUGGCACCUGUUUUCAUUUCCUACUGUUGUGCUGUCUAUCAUGAGUAGUCUGCUUUUGUUAGGGAAAUACCUCUGGCUGCAGUGGGCUGAAUUGCCAUUUUCAGCAGUCACAUUUAAAUUUUCCUUGGAUCUGUACUAAACUGAAAAAUGUCUUGCCCCAUCUUUUCAAUGUAGCAGUGUGAGAACUGAUAUUAUUUUUUCCAAAUGUGAGACAUCAAUUUUUACUUACCACGAUGAAAUCUGCAAAUUUAGACUUUUCCUUGCCAUGAAACAUGCAUUUGAUUAGAAAAUACGGUUUUGACUGUACUGCACUGCUUUCUUCCAGUAAUGUAGACCCUUUGCUUAACUUUAUAACACAGAGAACUUGGUCUUCUUAAAGGAUUGACCUUUUGCUAAGUGCAUUAUUCAGUGAUGUUUCUCUUCAGUCAACCUGUUAUGAGCUGCUGAUAAUGCAAUAAUGUACAAUCCUUUCAGCACGCCCUUAAAUCAGUAGGUGUUCUGUAAGUUUAUAUGUACACGAAUGUAAUGCUCUCUGUUUACUGAUUAUGAAACCAUGUAAUACAGGUUGUUGUUGGCUUAUGCUGAAACUUCUUGAAAGAAGCCCACUUUGAAAAUGUGUUGCUGUUGAAGCUAAUAUUAUGAUUCAGACAGAGGGAAGGGACGCCAGAGGCAAGCUAUUCUGGGAGAGCACCCAUCAUCAUUUAGACAUGAUGGUUAUGGUAAGUAACAUAGGUUGACAGAUGGUUUUGAUUUCUGUACGUGCUAUGUGGAAUUCCAAAUAUUCAAUCAAUGUAUAACUGGACCUCUGAACUGUGAGUAGUUCACUGAUCUGUGCAUGUGGUGCCGUCAGUCCCUGUACAAAAAUUGAUAGCGAUGGAUUGAAAUGCAUAGUGCCUUUUUUUUUUUGCCAUACGUCUUCUUUUUAUGAAGAGCAUCCAGCUCUGCGAAUGUAUUCCUUUGAAGAAUACUUUCUUUUAGUUGCUAUCACCAUAGCAGUGAAAAGAUAAUAACGUAACUACUGGGGAAGCUCUUUUCUUACAGAAAAUGGCAGCAGAGUUUGAUCAGUGGUUUGAUGCAACUCAGAGCCCUUUGAUGUUUUUGCAUGCAAAGCUGUGAAUUGUGGGCUUUGUGUUUCUUCUAAUUUAGCUAAUUCUGAAAAGGUACAGCAGUGUGAUUUGCUAAGGAUGACCUUUUGGAAUUAGUGCUGUAAAGUGGUGCAGUUGUUACCAGGGCUAACUGUAAAUGAAGACCUGCCAUACUGCUCUUUCCCUCAUUAUUGCAUUUUACUGUGGAAAAAUGAGGCAAUAGGCACUUUUUAUACUCUGUGAAUUUCACAAUAUUCAUUUUCUCAGAGGAUCGCGAAUCCUCUCUUCAAUAACACUGAUGUUUUCUGUAAACAAAAGUUAAUGCAUAUCAGUUAAGUCUCUUCAUUUAUUUAA